CCUACGGGAAGCAGCAGUAGGGAAUAUUGCUCAAUGGGGGAAACCCUGAAGCAGCAACGCCGCGUGGAGGAUGAAGGUUUUCGGAUUGUAAACUCCUUUUGUUAGAGAAGAUAAUGACGGUAUCUAACGAAUAAGCACCGGCUAACUACGUGCCAGCAGCCGCGGUAAUACGGAGGGUGCAAGCGUUACUCGGAAUCACUGGGCGUAAAGAGCGCGUAGGCGGGAUAGCAAGUCAGAUGUGAAAUCCUAUGGCUUAACCAUAGAACUGCAUUUGAAACUGUUAGUCUAGAGUAUGGGAGAGGUAGGUGGAAUUCUUGGUGUAGGGGUAAAAUGCGUAGAGAUCAAGAGGAAUACUCAUUGCGAAGGCGACCUGCUAGAACAUAACUGACGCUGAUGCGCGAAAGCGUGGGGAGCAAACAGGAUUAGAUACCCCAGUAGUC
RNAcentral lists this ribosomal RNA (440 nucleotides) under uncultured bacterium. RNAcentral's name for it is "partial 16S ribosomal RNA". It matches the Rfam family "Bacterial small subunit ribosomal RNA", at positions 338 to 795 of the family's 1533-position model. The record is from RNAcentral.